Molecule: ribosomal RNA, 446 nt
Filed under: Bacillus sp. MZ03100J1
Lineage: Bacteria; Bacillati; Bacillota; Bacilli; Caryophanales; Bacillaceae
Description: bacterial SSU rRNA
Rfam family: Bacterial small subunit ribosomal RNA
Source: RNAcentral
UGCAGUCGAGCGAAUCAAUAGGGAGCUUGCUCCUGUUGGUUAGCGGCGGACGGGUGAGUAACACGUGGGCAACCUGCCUGUAAGACUGGGAUAACACCGGGAAACCGGUGCUAAUACCGGAUAAUCCUUUUCCUCUCAUGAGGAAAAGCUGAAAGUCGGUUUCGGCUGACACUUACAGAUGGGCCCGCGGCGCAUUAGCUAGUUGGUGAGGUAACGGCUCACCAAGGCGACGAUGCGUAGCCGACCUGAGAGGGUGAUCGGCCACACUGGGACUGAGACACGGCCCAGACUCCUACGGGAGGCAGCAGUAGGGAAUCUUCCACAAUGGACGAAAGUCUGAUGGAGCAACGCCGCGUGAGCGAUGAAGGCCUUCGGGUCGUAAAGCUCUGUUGUUAGGGAAGAACAAGUACCGGAGUAACUGCCGGUACCUUGACGGUACCUAACCA